RNAcentral lists this ribosomal RNA (429 nucleotides) under uncultured bacterium. RNAcentral's name for it is "bacterial SSU rRNA". It matches the Rfam family "Bacterial small subunit ribosomal RNA", at positions 355 to 776 of the family's 1533-position model. The record is from RNAcentral.
UGGGGAAUUUUGGACAAUGGGGGCAACCCUGAUCCAGCCAUUCCGCGUGAGUGAAGAAGGCCUUCGGGUUGUAAAGCUCUUUCGGCAGGAACGAAACGGUCUCACCUAAUACGUGGGGCUAAUGACGGUACCUGAAGAAGAAGCACCGGCUAACUACGUGCCAGCAGCCGCGGUAAUACGUAGGGUGCGAGCGUUAAUCGGAAUUACUGGGCGUAAAGCGUGCGCAGGCGGCUCCAUAAGACAGAUGUGAAAUCCCCGGGCUUAACCUGGGAACUGCGUUUGUGACUGUGGGGCUAGAGUGCGGCAGAGGGGGGUGGAAUUCCACGUGUAGCAGUGAAAUGCGUAGAGAUGUGGAGGAACACCGAUGGCGAAGGCAGCCCCCUGGGUCGACACUGACGCUCAUGCACGAAAGCGUGGGGAGCAAACAGG